GUGAAGGGGCCACGGCCAAGAAGGGAUUUUUGAUGGAUGGAUUGGUGCAGUCUCCUGGGGAUGGAGCCCUGGUUGUGGCCUGGCAGUGCCUGGAGCUGAGGAGUGCUGGAUAACCCCAGAGCUUGUGCAGCCAGGCUGCUGCAGUGCCUGACAGCAAAGUCCCCGGGACAGACCCUGACCCUCUGAGAGGAGGAGAGAGGAGGACUCAGCCCACCUGCCCCAGCUCCCCUGCCUGGUGCCAGCUGACCUGCUGGGGUCCCGGAGGAGCUGCAGCU
This 275-nucleotide long non-coding RNA is filed under the name Serinus canaria (Common canary). RNAcentral's name for it is "lncRNA (ENSSCAG00000017119.1)". Lineage: Eukaryota; Metazoa; Chordata; Aves; Passeriformes; Fringillidae. The record is from RNAcentral.